Molecule: long non-coding RNA, 725 nt
Organism: Oreochromis niloticus (Nile tilapia)
Lineage: Eukaryota; Metazoa; Chordata; Actinopteri; Cichliformes; Cichlidae
Exons: 3
Source: RefSeq, a predicted model, not a curated record
CAGCCUGGCGCGGGAGCGAGCGCCCGCGAUACUGGGCUGGCCAGAGAAGCGCGUGAACGCGCAGUUUUCAAGAGAGGCGCCGAAGUGGGAAAAGUGGCCUUAAGAGAUAAACAGAUCCGUGCGCUGUGACAAGGGAUGGUGACCAAUGGAAAAAAAGAAAUCCCCUCCUCCUGCUGCCUUCAGGCCCCCACAGCCAACUGAGUGUUAAAAACUCAACAGAUAUGAAAACACAUACAUUGUUUCCUCCUUCUUACUGCCCAGGUCCUGGGCACUGAGGCCAAGGACUUUCCAGGGCUGGAGGAGAGUGAGUAUGAAUGAAUGAUGGAUAAAAGGAAACGGAAGGAUGACUCUGAUUUUCUUCUUUUGCCAUGUGCAGAGUCACUUUCUCCUUCUCCAAUUAAAUAAAUACAAUGAAGCGGCAUUGUUUCAUCCUUUGUUGCCCCAGGCCUUCUCUAUGAGUGCCAUGCUUGUCUGAGUAAUUUGAAGAAUACGAGCUUGUAAAAUUACAAAAAAUAUUUUGGUAUCGCAGUCGCACCCGACUCAGAAGUGUCUUAAUGCAAGAAAAAAAAGACACUUCUGUAUUUUUUGGACUGCUUUUUAUGUUGUAAGCAAAGAACAUUUCAUCACAGUGGGAGCCGGGUUCAAUGCGAGAGUGAGGCAGAGACAAGGAGAUGUGAGUCAGGGUCGGCCGGCAAAAGAAAAGCAGUGAAGUUUGGACUGACUCA